UGGGGAAUAUUGCGCAAUGGGGGAAACCCUGACGCAGCGACGCCGCGUGCGGGAUGAAGGCCUUCGGGUUGUAAACCGCUUUUGAUUGGGAGCAAGCUUUCGGGUGAGUGUACCUUUCGAAUAAGCGCCGGCUAACUACGUGCCAGCAGCCGCGGUAAUACGUAGGUGGCAAGCGUUGUCCGGAUUUAUUGGGCGUAAAGCGAGCGCAGGCGGUCAAUUAAGUCUGAUGUGAAAGCCCCCGGCUCAACCGGGGAGGGUCAUUGGAAACUGGUUGACUUGAGUGCAGAAGAGGAGAGUGGAAUUCCAUGUGUAGCGGUGAAAUGCGUAGAUAUAUGGAGGAACACCGGUGGCGAAAGCGGCUCUCUGGUCUGUAACUGACGCUGAGGCUCGAAAGCGUGGGGAGCGAACAGG
RNAcentral lists this ribosomal RNA (411 nucleotides) under Bacteroidota bacterium. Its description in RNAcentral is "Bacteroidetes bacterium partial 16S ribosomal RNA". It matches the Rfam family "Bacterial small subunit ribosomal RNA", at positions 355 to 776 of the family's 1533-position model. Lineage: Bacteria; Pseudomonadati; Bacteroidota. The record is from RNAcentral.